Long non-coding RNA from Limanda limanda (common dab), 239 nucleotides. RefSeq lists it as uncharacterized. NCBI's taxonomy places the organism in Eukaryota, Metazoa, Chordata, Actinopteri, Pleuronectiformes, Pleuronectidae. The record is from RefSeq and is a predicted model, not a curated record. The transcript is spliced from 3 exons.
GGGUAUGAGAUGAUCAUCUGAUUCGAACACUGUCAGAUUUGUAAGCAAGCUUCUGGUAUCCCGGAGGACUGAGUGCCCAGUAAGGUGCUUGAGCAACUAUAAGAGGGAUUUUCAUUCAGAGGACCUACAGGACCUGCAUGGGAAUCCCCUGACUCACACCCAUAACACAGCCAUGCAGACAGGGUUUACUGGAGUCUUAACCCAAAGACACCCUCAGCCACGCAGUCUCCAUGCCACCA